This is a non-coding RNA of Oryzias latipes (Japanese medaka), 1133 nucleotides long. NCBI's taxonomy places the organism in Eukaryota, Metazoa, Chordata, Actinopteri, Beloniformes, Adrianichthyidae. The record is from RefSeq and is a predicted model, not a curated record.
CAAUGUUUGUGCAGAAACAGUUUGUGGUUUUGAUCCUUUUUCUACUCAAACGUAAAUAAAUAAAGAAUUAGUUUUCAUUUUAGCGACUACAAGUUGUUUUCUUAACGUUUCCCUCACGUGGCCAUGUGCUCAUUAGCAGCACCCGGAUGGGAGUGACUACACCUGGGACCCAAUUACCUCAUCCUGCUACAUUUACAACCCCAUACCUGGGCCUGCUGUCAACAGGGUGCAGCUUCCCCCCUCCUUCACAACGCUGGAAAAAUCCAGAACAUUCCAAAUAAAACAGCAGCAUCGUGUUGUUCGUCUUGCAGACAUCCAUUUCCGCUAUAGCAAGGCUAACCCUGUGACCGUCAGCGCCGGCGUGUUUGCAAAGAGCAGACAGGAAGGGGUUGUGAGGAAGUUGGAGGAAUUUCCCGCUAGGAGACGGUUUGUGCUGCAAGACUUGAACAGGACGACCUGUGCCUCCUCCGUCCCCCCCGUGUCCUGAUGCACGGCAACUCCAUACCUGGGCCUGCUGCCAAACAUCACCAUGAGGAAGCUGGUGCUGCCGUGCAACCUACGAGGAAAAAUCCACCUCUAUGUGACUCAGAGUUUCCCUGGCUUUUCUGGGGAACAGUGGCACCGGAUCAACAUCAACGCGAGACUGAGGUGCCUUUGGGAGGUUGAACCAGAGACCCAGCGUUUUGGGUUCUCUGACCCCUGAAGGCCCCCCUUACAGAUCUGCUGGAAGAAACAAUUGCACUGUUCUAAGCCAGCCUGAAGACGGCAGCGUCCUCCAGAGAGGAAUUUAUCGAAGAGUGGAUGGGAACAGUUUCUGCAUCAGCCGGGUCAGACUUUAGGGAAUCUUUAAGAAAGCUGCCGCUGUUCUCAUCCCACAGGAGGUGUGUGUCAGAGGCUGGGCUUCUCCCUACCAGGUCCCGCCACUCAGACAGAAAGUAAAACGGCUUCACUGACCCAUAUAUGAACCACACUCACUUUGAGAACUCACUUUAUAUUUCACUUUUUUUUAAAUUGAUGGCCUUUAAAUACUGAUGAACAAGAAACAGAAGCGCAGCAGAAACAACUCAAAUGUGAUGUUUUAUUCUGAAAACAAUGAAAACAAUGAAGGAUAAAAAGGAUACAAAAAAAUUGAA